This 89-nucleotide transfer RNA is filed under the name Streptomyces sp. MH60. Its description in RNAcentral is "tRNA-Arg". Lineage: Bacteria; Bacillati; Actinomycetota; Actinomycetes; Kitasatosporales; Streptomycetaceae. The record is from RNAcentral.
UGGUGGCUGGGCCGGGGUCGGUCGGCUCGCGACGCUCGCCGGUCGCCUCUGCCGCGGGGGGCGCGGCUGUUGUGCCGGCCACCACCGAC